RNAcentral lists this transfer RNA (88 nucleotides) under bacterium BMS3Abin07. RNAcentral describes it as "tRNA-Leu". It matches the Rfam family "tRNA". Rfam says of the family: Transfer RNA (tRNA) molecules are approximately 80 nucleotides in length. RNAcentral also lists the same sequence under 3 other names. The record is from RNAcentral.
GCCGGAGUGGCGGAAUUGGUAGACGCAAGGGACUUAAAAUCCCUCGGGGCGUUGCUCCGUACCGGUUCGAGUCCGGUCUCCGGCACCA